Molecule: unclassified non-coding RNA, 2459 nt
Filed under: Hevea brasiliensis (rubber tree)
Lineage: Eukaryota; Viridiplantae; Streptophyta; Magnoliopsida; Malpighiales; Euphorbiaceae
Source: RNAcentral
UUUUUUCUUUUUUUUAAGCAUAGUCUGAGAGAGUUUUCCAGGUUAGGUGCCUUUCCUUCUCUCAUUUCUAUGAAUGCCAGCAUCAUUUUACUUCUUUAAGCUCUGACAGGCGUUCCUCAGCAAGCGGAUUUGAUAAUUCUCAAACCCAAAAGGUGAACAAUUAAUAAGUCACCACCAAGCUUCCAUCUUUUUAUUCUUACAUUGAUCUCUGCUCAACAUUACUUUUUUAUUUUCAAUCGAUUUCUCGUCUGGAAGAUUGUUAAUUUUGGAUCUCAUUGCAUAUUGGGGUUUUUGAUCUGAAAUGUUAGCUGAGGUGGAGAGGAUUUUUGUUUCUGUUGUAGACAUGUGUUUGGUUAAUGGGUUUUCUUUCUUGAUGCCUAAAAUGAUCAUUUCGGCCGAAAAUUUUUGAUUUUUUGCAGUGUAUUUCAUGAACUAGAGGUUGAAUUUCGAACUUAGGUAAGGCUUCUCACGAGGCAGUUAGGGUUUUAAGAUUUUAUCGCUGUUGGGUCGUUUGGGGUUUUGAGAAUUUAUUGAUUAUGAACGCACUUGGCGAAUCAUCUGAAUCUGGUUCUAUUUUAUCUAGUCCCAAGUUGUCAAAAAGUGUGAAUUUACGCGAUGAUGAUGCUUUUCCUAGGCAAGUGUCACCUAUUAGGAUUGGUGGCUCGAGGAAUACAAGCCCCUUGGGCCGUGUUGGAUCAAGAAAUACCAGUCCUUCUAGGCAGAAGGCGAUUAAGACCAAACCACGGGGUUUAGAUGAGGAAACAGUGGCUACAUUUGGUAAAGCUGUUUACCCUGAUGUUCAAAUGGAGGAUAACAUAUGGGCAAUGUUGCCUGAAGAUCUACUGAAUGAGAUUUUGGCUAGGGUUCCUCCUUUUAUGAUAUUUCGACUUCGAUCAGUUUGUAAAAGAUGGAAUUCUAUUCUUCAAGACAGCAGUUUUCUUAAAUUUCACUCACAAGUGCCAUCUCAUGGGCCUUGUAUUUUGACAUUUUGGAAAAACUCACAGACACCACAAUGCUCAGUUUUUAGCUUGCCUUUGAAAACAUGGUACAGAAUUCCUUUCACAUUUUUACCGCAGUGGGCAUUUUGGUUGGUUGGUUCCUCAGGGGGCCUUGCUUGCUUUUCUGGGCUUGAUGGGCUAACUUUCAAAACUUUAGUUUGUAAUCCUCUCACUCAAACUUGGAGAACGUUGCCAAGCAUGCAUUAUAAUCAACAAAGGCAAUUGAUAUUGGUUGUUGAUAGAACGGAUAGGUCGUUUAAAGUGAUAGCCACCAGUGAUAUUUAUGGUGAUAAGUCAUUGCCUACUGAAGUGUAUGAUUCGAAGCUUGACAGAUGGUCACUCCACCAAAUAAUGCCUGCAGUCAAUCUUUGUUCUUCAAAGAUGGCAUAUUGUGACUCGAGAUUGUAUCUGGAAACUCUUUCACCACUUGGUUUGAUGAUGUAUCAGCUUGACGCAGGUUACUGGGAACACAUUCCAGCCAAGUUCCCACGGUCUUUGUUGGAUGGCUAUUUGGUGGCUGGCACUCAGAAGCGUCUGUUUCUAGUCGGAAGAAUUGGCCUUUAUAGUACUCUUCAAAGCAUGAGAAUUUGGGAGUUGGAUCACACAAAGAUUGUGUGGCUGGAGAUUAGUAGGAUGCCACCAAAGUAUUUUCGGGCUUUGUUGAGGUUAUCAGCAGAGAGAUUUGAGUGCUUUGGGCAGGAUAAUUUGAUCUGCUUCACAUCUUGGAACCAAGGCAAGGGCCUUCUGUAUGAUGUAGAUAAGAAGGUUUGGUCUUGGAUUGCUGGGUGCGCUCUUCAGUCAUAUAACAGUCAGGUGUGUUUCUAUGAGCCAAGAUUUGAUGCUUCCAUUUACUAGGCUGACAAUUUUGUGGUUUGCAGCUUCAAUCGUUCUCAUGUUAUUCAGUGGAUCAUGAGGAAGUUGAGUGUUAUCUUUGUUUUUUGUUUUCUACUUCUUUCCAUCUAUCCGUCGUCUCUCUCUUUUGCACUUUUGUAAGGGUUCUCUUCUCCGGCCUAUUGACUAAUGAUUCAAGUUACUUUAGUUUUGCACACUGGAUUGGUAUUAUUGGGGCAGCAGUAGGAAGCAGGUUAAAUUAGCAAGAUUUUCAAAUGUGCUGUCAAUGAUGUCACGACCUUGUUCCAAGGUUCUGUCCUGCAUGUGGAUUGAGCAUCACCUGGUGCCAAGGCAUUGUGAUGCACAUGGACUGACCACUGUUACACUCUGAUCACUUGAUGAGGAAUGGGCUUGUUAAAGAAUGUGCUUAAUGGAUAAUGAUGUCUUGGGGGAAAUUGCAAGAAGAUUUUUCCCCUUUUCCUGCUUAUGUACAUUCUCUGAAAAUGGUUAUCAAAUGAAAAUUUUGCAACUUGAACUUCUGUGAUAUCCUUGCUCAUAAUGUAUUUUUGUGGUGCUAAUUUUGCAAUUGUCAAUCCUAGUUUAAAUGAUCUGGUUGCUUUACUCUUAUAA